GACGAACGCUGGCGGCGUGCUUAACACAUGCAAGUCGAACGGAAAGGCCCUGCUUUUGUGGGGUGCUCGAGUGGCGAACGGGUGAGUAACACGUGAGUAACCUGCCCUUGACUUUGGGAUAACUUCAGGAAACUGGGGCUAAUACCGGAUAGGAGCUCCUGCUGCAUGGUGGGGGUUGAAAAGUUUCGGCGGUUGGGGAUGGACUCGCGGCUUAUCAGCUUGUUGGUGGGGUAGUGGCUUACCAAGGCUUUGACGGGUAGCCGGCCUGAGAGGGUGACCGGCCACAUUGGGACUGAGAUACGGCCCAGACUCCUACGGGAGGCAGCAGUGGGGAAUAUUGCACAAUGGGCGGAAGCCUGAUGCAGCGACGCCGCGUGCGGGAUGACGGCCUUCGGGUUGUAAACCGCUUUCGCCUGUGACGAAGCGUGAGUGACGGUAAUGGGUAAAGAAGCACCGGCUAACUACGUG
RNAcentral lists this ribosomal RNA (468 nucleotides) under uncultured bacterium. RNAcentral describes it as "partial 16S ribosomal RNA". It matches the Rfam family "Bacterial small subunit ribosomal RNA", at positions 28 to 507 of the family's 1533-position model. The record is from RNAcentral.